GGCGCUAUAGCCAAGUGGUUACGGCGACAGAUUAGAAUGAGCUUUUCGCAUCUUGAUCUGUUCCUCUUUGAGGGCGCAGGUUCGAAUCCUGCUGGCGUCG
This is a non-coding RNA of Rhodocollybia butyracea, 100 nucleotides long. Lineage: Eukaryota; Fungi; Basidiomycota; Agaricomycetes; Agaricales; Omphalotaceae. The record is from the annotation of a GenBank genome assembly.